This 213-nucleotide ribosomal RNA is filed under the name Candidatus Giovannonibacteria bacterium RIFCSPHIGHO2_01_FULL_43_140. Its description in RNAcentral is "partial 23S ribosomal RNA". It matches the Rfam family "Bacterial large subunit ribosomal RNA", at positions 2699 to 2925 of the family's 2925-position model. Lineage: Bacteria; Candidatus Giovannoniibacteriota. The record is from RNAcentral.
GAGGCGACCUCUGGUCUACCUGCUGUUCCGCCAGGAGCACCGCAGGGCAGCUAUGUCGUUGAGUGAUAAGCGCUGAAAGCAUCUAAGCGCGAAGCAUGCCCCAAGAUUAGGAAUCGUUAUCAGAUCCCUCGAAGACUACGAGGUUGAUAGGCUCCAGGUGUAAGUGCCGCAAGGCAUUCAGCCGAGGAGUACUAAUAGAUCGAGCCGUCUUGU